This 432-nucleotide ribosomal RNA is filed under the name uncultured bacterium. Its description in RNAcentral is "partial 16S ribosomal RNA". It matches the Rfam family "Bacterial small subunit ribosomal RNA", at positions 29 to 506 of the family's 1533-position model. The record is from RNAcentral.
AACGAACGCUGGCGGCAUGCCUAACACAUGCAAGUCGAACGAGACCUUCGGGUCUAGUGGCGCACGGGUGCGUAACGCGUGGGAACCUGCCCUUAGGUUCGGAAUAACUCCCCGAAAGGGGUGCUAAUACCGGAUAAUGUCUGCGGACCAAAGAUUUAUCGCCUUUGGAUGGGCCCGCGUUGGAUUAGCUAGUUGGUAGGGUAAAAGCCUACCAAGGCGACGAUCCAUAGCUGGUCUGAGAGGAUGAUCAGCCACACUGGGACUGAGACACGGCCCAGACUCCUACGGGAGGCAGCAGUGGGGAAUAUUGGACACUGGGCGAAAGCCUGAUCCAGCAAUGCCGCGUGAGUGAUGAAGGCCUUAGGGUUGUAAAGCUCUUUUACCCGGGAUGAUAAUGACAGUACCGGGAGAAUAAGCUCCGGCUACCUCCGU